This is a long non-coding RNA of Ictalurus punctatus (channel catfish), 1077 nucleotides long. The record is from Ensembl. NCBI's taxonomy places the organism in Eukaryota, Metazoa, Chordata, Actinopteri, Siluriformes, Ictaluridae.
CCCAUACACAUCCACUAGUGACCUUAUGUUUGGCGUUGUGCUUUAUUUAGCAGUCUCUCUUUAUCCAUAUUGGAGGGAAUUUAAAUGCUACAUACAAACUCUACCAGUGACCUUACUGCACCUAUAAAUGAUUACACAAACUGCUCUUGGUAACGCAAACACACACACACACUGGGAUGAGUCUGGCCAAAGAGGGGAUGCGGGGGAGGAAAACACAGACAGCAUCUGCUAUUACAUGUAAGAUGGUGGAUAAAUUGAGUCUGCUGAUGAGAAUGCUUACUUAAUUAAACAUGCUGUCAGCCUGGCCUACACAUGAUUGAACAUGGAGAAAGGAAACAUUACGACGGAUGAGACAGAGGAUGGUCUAGACAGACAAAGAAGGAUAGAGGGAUUGUGGGAGGAAACGGGAGGGAGAGAGAUGGUCACAUGGACUAGAACUGGAGUAUAGUAUUCUGUGAAGAGCCAGAGUGGCUUCGUAGUGCCAUUUUUGACUACUGCCAUGGACUCUGAACAGGGUAAUUCUUGACGAUGCCUUUAUGAAGGAUUGAGGACGAUCGGAUCGUACACCCAAGACCCAACGCCCUUUCAUGUUUAGUGCACAUCCUCCAUAUAAACUCCACCUCCUCAUGUUAAAUCAAUCGCCUUCCUUUCUCAGUGUGUCUCCUCCCUCUUGUGUUCUCCUCUCCUCCCCUUGUAAUGUGUCUGCCAAUCUCUGUCGUCUGCACUGACUCCUCCCACAGUGGCAUGAGCGUUUUUUCGAUGUGACGUCAGUUUGUUAUCCAGGCACAGAGAGAGUGAGAAGGCUGGGAAGAGAGAGGAAGAGAUACGAGAUAUUGACUGCCAGUGGAUCCUUGUACAAAGAAAAUGAGACACUUAGUCUAGGGGUUUAAGAUGCUGUAUGAGGUUCAGGACAGAGUGCGAGAAACAGGUCUGUCGGAACGAACAAGCACAUGGAACGUGGACAGGCAUCUUUCAGUUCACUUCAUUAAUCCCAUUCUGUUCUGUUCUGGCGGUAGCUGGCACCAUAAUGAGGUGGUGUGUGUGUGUGUGUGUGUGUGUGUGUGUGUGUAUUCCCAG